CAGCGCCACGAGUGGCAAUCACGAUUAUUGGGUCUAAAGCGUCCGUAGCCGGUUCAGUAAAUCUUUUGUGAAAUCGUUGGGCUCAACCUAACGGCAUGCAGAAGACACUGCUGGACUUGAGACCGGAAGGAGUGCAGAGUAUGGUGUGGGGACCGGUAAAAUGGGAUAAUCCACGCUAGACUACCAAUGGCGAAGGCACUGCACCAGGACGGAUCUGACGGUGAGGGACGAAAGCUAGGGGAGCGAACCGGAUUAGAUACCCGAGUAGUCC
RNAcentral lists this ribosomal RNA (271 nucleotides) under uncultured archaeon. Its description in RNAcentral is "partial 16S ribosomal RNA". It matches the Rfam family "Archaeal small subunit ribosomal RNA", at positions 477 to 747 of the family's 1478-position model. The record is from RNAcentral.